Molecule: long non-coding RNA, 586 nt
Organism: Myzus persicae (green peach aphid)
Lineage: Eukaryota; Metazoa; Arthropoda; Insecta; Hemiptera; Aphididae
Exons: 2
Source: RefSeq, a predicted model, not a curated record
AUCAGUUAUCACUAAUCAUUUACGUUGACAACAAUUUCAAAUCGAGCAUGUGCUUGGAUCAGGGUUUUUCGACAUAAGUGUAAUGGCAUCGUGAAUCAUACUAUUUGAAUUACCUACCCAAUAAUAUAGUAUAAUAUUAUAAUUUGAAACUGCUUACUCACAACUGCAGUAGUCUUGUUCGUCAGAGUUCCGCACUUCCACAUUGGAUUCAACGCGAACCAGAUAAUUAAGGAUAAAGAAAACAUCAACGACGAAAUGCUAAUCAAUAAAAUGAUGCUGUUUAUAUUUGUGUUUUUGCUGAUGUUAGACUUGCAUGACGUUGCUGAUGGUAAAUUUCGUUCCAUUGGUAGGAAAAGAAAAAAAAAUAGUAAAACAGGUAAACCCCUCAACAGAACUGCAGGAGGGUAGAUUAUUAAAUUAAAUAAUAGGUUUUUAAUUUAAUUUCAAUUAAAAUCGUGUAUCCAAACGUUUGUUUUCAAUAUAAUUAUUUUUCCAAUCGAGAAUAACAUGGAAUACAAAGAGAUUCUGUACAAUUUAUGAUUCACAAAAGUCAAUAAAUUUGAAUAUAAUAUUACUGUAACUUCUA